UCGAGGAUCUUCGGCAAUGAGCGCAAGCUUGACCGAGCGACGCCGCGUGGAGGAUGAAGGCCUUCGGGUUGUAAACUCCUUUGGUGGGGGAGGAAAUUUGACCUACCCCAAGAACAAGCACGGGCUAAGUUCGUGCCAGCAGCCGCGGUAAGACGAACCGUGCGAACGUUGUUCGGAAUCACUGGGCUUAAAGGGCGCGUAGGUGGUUUGCCAAGUCAGGGGUGAAAUCCUUCGGCUUAACCGGAGAAUAGCCCCUGAUACUGGCGAGCUAGAGGAAGACAGAGGCAGCCGGAACUACCGGUGGAGCGGUGAAAUGUGUUGAUAUCGGUAGGAACGCCAGAGGCGCAAGCGGGCUGCUGGUUCUUUUCUGACACUGAUGCGCGAAAGCUAGGGUAGCGAACGGGAUUAGAUACCCCCGUAGUCC
This 424-nucleotide ribosomal RNA is filed under the name uncultured bacterium. Its description in RNAcentral is "bacterial SSU rRNA". It matches the Rfam family "Bacterial small subunit ribosomal RNA", at positions 355 to 796 of the family's 1533-position model. The record is from RNAcentral.